RNAcentral lists this long non-coding RNA (521 nucleotides) under Helianthus annuus (common sunflower). RNAcentral's name for it is "hypothetical non coding rna". Lineage: Eukaryota; Viridiplantae; Streptophyta; Magnoliopsida; Asterales; Asteraceae. The record is from RNAcentral.
GCACAAUUUCACCUCUCUCCCCCUCCCAAAUCAAUUUCCCUCACUACAACCCUUUAUCGAUUUUGUCUCUCAUUUGCAUUUGCGCUUAAGAACUUCUGAGGUACAGUCGUCUCUACUUCGUCGUGGUAUGUAUCAUUGACUUCUUUGCCCAAUUGCACCACAUCACCAAUGAUUGGUUGAUUCUGUGUUGGCUAAACCAUAUGAAACAGAAAAAGGAUACGGAAACCCUAGCCCUAGCCUGGGCUGCAAAAUUUGCCACAACAGGUACGAUUUUUUGUAAAAAAUUUUGUUUGUUAUGUGUUGGUGAAGGUGAUGGAUGACUUUCCAUUGCUAUUUGGUGUUAAGAACAAUUACAACGUUUAAGUUUCAUUAUCACCGCAUCUGUGAAAGCUAUUUGGUGUUAAGAACAAUUACAACGUUGUUUGGCUGAUAUAUGUUGGGUAGCGGUGCAGCUUGUUGCCCAUUUACCUACUAUCUCGAUGUAAUUCAUAACAUUUUAAAUAUAAAAAGCUACAAGAUUA